UUCCUCUCAUUCCCCCGAGUUCGGAUCGGACUGUAGAAGUCACGCGGAGAGAAGGGAGAGCAGCAGCAAAUCUACUGUAGAAUUCUCAACAUCGACUGUAGAAGAGAAGGGAGAGCAGCAGCAAAUCGCCAGAGUCGUAGUUGUUCCUUCUUGAUUGUUUCAGGUACCAAUUGCAGUUAUCUAAGCAGCAAAUCGCCAGAGUCGUAGUUGUUCCUUCUUUAUUAUCUAAGCAGUCUCCUUAUUAUUGAUUUUAAGUUAGAAUCCAUAUUAUCUAAGUUAGAAUAAUAAAAUCCGUAGCUUCUCAUAUAAAAUCCAUCUUGCUGGCUGCAAUCUUCCUCCAUAUGAGAGAGUUUUAUUUGUCCAUGUCAUCAAGUGGCUAUUGAGUUGUCUAUGAGGCUUGAACAAUAUGAAUAUCUAAGUUCUCUCCCUAUGAAUAACUGCAUCUUAUAUCGCAAGGACCAUCAAAACAUAACUGAGUGUCCGACAUGCAGACACCCUAGGUACAAGACAAUAACUUCUACUGGUCGAAAAAUACCAUUUAAAAUUUUAAGAUACUUUCCUUUGAUACCCAGACUUCAACGGUUAUACCACUGUUCAAAUACUGUAAAGGAAAUGAUUUGGCACAGUCAAUGUCGGAAAGAUAUCGCCAAUGAAGUUAGACAUCCAGCCGAUGGUGAAGCUUGGAAAUAUUUUGAUCGUACUCACGAAAGUUUUGCCGCAGAUAUUCGAAAUGUGAGACUUGGUUUGUCCACUGAUGGAUUUAAUCCAUUUGGUCAUUCGAGCGUGCCGUACUCAUGUUGGCCAGUUAUCGUUACCUCAUACAACCUUCCACCGUGGAUAUGCAACACACAACCAUUCAUGUUCUUGACUAUUUUGAUCCCCGGUCCUCACAGUCCAAAGAAAGAAAUUGACAUUUAUCUAUCCCCUUUGAUUGAUGAAUUGAAAAUUUUAUGGAAUGACGGGAUCGAGACAUACGAUGCAUUUAAAAAACAAAAUUUCUUAAUGAAAGCGGCACUUUUGUGGAUUAUUUCAGACUUCCCAGCUUAUGCAAUGUUGUCCGGUUGGAGUACUCAUGGAAAAUUAGCAUGCCCAUAUUGUAUGGGAAACAACAAAGCAUUUUAUCUCAAAAAUAGUAGAAAGAAAUGUUUCUUUGAUUGUCAUCGUCAAUUUCUUUCGGCAAAUCAUCAAUAUCGGCGACAGAAGGAUAAAUUUAGUAGAAGGAUUGAAAAAGAUGUUACGAUUGAACGUCUUACAGGAUAUGAAUUAGAAUCUCACAUCCUUUCUCCGGAUGAAGUGAUUUUUGGAUUGUCGCACAAGGUCAAAGAAUCCAAUUUCGGGAAAACACAUAAUUGGACAAAGAGAAGUAUUUUUUUUGAAUUACCUUAUUGGAGUUCAUUAUUAAUACGUCAUAAUGUGGAUGUCAUGCAUGUUGAGAAAAAUGUUUUUGAUAACAUCUUCAAUACAGUUAUGAAUGUCAAAGGCAAGACCAAAGACCAUUUAAAUGCUCGGAAAGACCUUCAGGAUAUGCGUAUUAGACAUAGCUUGCACCCACAAAUUUGUGACGACAAAAUACUUAUUCCCAAGGCCUCUUAUGCUCUUGAGAAGGACCAAAUCAAGAAAGUUUGUGAAUGGGUGAAGACAUUGCGUUUCCCUGAUGGUUAUGUUUCAAAUAUAUCUAGAUGUGCAAGCGUCGAAGAUUGCAAAUUCUCAGGUAUGAAGUCUCAUGACUGUCAUGUGUUCAUGCAAAGAUUAUUACCAAUUGCUUUCAUCGAUUUGUUACCUAAAGAAAUUAAUGAAGUAUUAACAGAAGUUAGCCAUUUCUUUAGUAAAAUUUGUUCCCCUACUUUGAAAGAAUCUGAAAUGAGAGCACUUGGAAAAUCCAUUGUCGAGACUAUGUGUAGAUUAGAGAAGAUUUUUCCUCCUUCUUUUUUUGAUUCAAUGGAGCAUAUGUUGAUACAUCUUCCGUAUGAGGCACAAGUCGGUGGACCCGUACAAUACAGAUGGAUGUACCCGUAUGAGAGGUAAAUCAUACAAAAUAAAUUUUCUAAAUAAUGUUUAUUAUAAAAUUUUAAAUGAGAUUAUCUAUCUUCAGGUUUAUGUAUUUUUUAAAGAAAAAAGUACGAAACAAGGCUUUCGUUGAAGGGUUCAUUGCUGAAGCAUAUAUUGCUGAAGAAAUAGGGAACUUUACUUCAAUGUAUUUCGAUGAUAACUUUCAAACAAAAUAUAAUAAGAAAUCUCGAAACUUUGAUGGAGGUAUAGUUGAACCGGUUGGUCGUUUAUCCAUAUUUUCACAACCUGGUUGUGCUCUUGGUGGUGGUAAAAAAUGAUACUUAGAUGACAAAGAGUACCUUGCUUCAAUUACAUAUCUACUACUUAAUUGUGAUAAAGUCGUACCAUAUUUAAGGGAGUUUGAAGAACAAUAUGUGAACCUUAGCGAUGGGGAACUUCAUCAAAAAACAGAUUGUUUAUUCUAUGGUUGGUUCAAAAACCGCUUGAAACCGAUAGAAGAAGAUGAGCGUUUGCGUGUUCUCUCAAAAGGCCCAAAUCGAGAAGUGACGUGUUACAAGAGUUACAUUAUCAAUGGAUUUAGAUUUCACAUAAAGAGUGAGGAUAUUUUAAAAAAAACUCAAAACUCUGGAAUGAUGAUAAAGGGAAGUGCAUACGAAGGUCUAGAGGAAAAUAACUACUAUGGAGUUCUUCUUGAUAUUAUCGAAUUGGAUUUCCUUGGAGAUAUGACUCGAGUAGUUAUGUUCAAAUGUGAUUGGUACGACAUCCACAAAGGAAUGAAAAUUGACCGUUCGAAAAAUGUAUCGAUCAACAUACAUACUAAACUUAGAGCAUAUGAACCCUUUGUUCUAUCUCAACAAGCAGAGCAAGUUUUCUACGCACCAAAUGUCUCCCAAAAGAAUAAAGAUUGGCAAACUCUCAUCCGAACAAAAGCUAGAGAUCGUUUUGACAUUCCAGAGAAAGAGGGAGAUACAUAUCAAGACGACUUUAAUGAGUUCCCUUUAAAUCUUCUUGAUGAUAAUAACAUUGAUAAUGUAUCUCUAAAUGUGGAUGGCACGUUUGAUGUUGAUUCAUUCGCACCUGACCCCACUUUACAUGAAGAGAGUGAGAGUUAUGUCGAAGAUGAAACAGAAAAUUUCAAUUCUGAAGAUGAAUGUUCUAUAUGAGUCGCCUGAGUGAGUUAUAUGUUUUAUACUUUCAUUUUUUUUUCCAAGCAGAAUAAUUUCAUUUUAUUUAUUCAUUUAGAAAAUAUUCCAUUAGAAAUGGCACGCGGACGGAGUCGUAAACGAACAAACGACGG
RNAcentral lists this long non-coding RNA (3307 nucleotides) under Zostera marina. Its description in RNAcentral is "long non-coding RNA (ZMAR_LNC001177)". Lineage: Eukaryota; Viridiplantae; Streptophyta; Magnoliopsida; Alismatales; Zosteraceae. The record is from RNAcentral.